RNAcentral lists this small RNA (619 nucleotides) under Cryptococcus neoformans H99. RNAcentral's name for it is "Cryptococcus neoformans var. grubii H99 hypothetical RNA". The record is from RNAcentral. Lineage: Eukaryota; Fungi; Basidiomycota; Tremellomycetes; Tremellales; Cryptococcaceae.
CCGUUACCUCUUACGUAUCUUGCACUUUCCACUUUUCGCUUUUUACACUGUCUUCUGUCUUUUGUCCACAUUAACAAGUCUGAAUUUUGAGGUGUUGCCAAGGUCUCCAUAGAUCACAGACAAUGGUCAUGAAAGACGAAUAAAAAAAAGCUCUCGAGAAGAGAAGAACAAAAUAACAGGCAUGUCAAGGGGCUGCUGAAGACUGACAGCAUCGGAGAUCAGAAAUGACCAUUUUCCCUGCCGAAUAAGCCUAAAAGUGAAUUUGUUCCUUGGCUCCUGGCUUCCAUAAUAGCAUACGCACUCAGUGUAUGGUGACUGCUCUCAAAGCUCCAAAAUUGAAAAUCAAAUAAAGGUGGGAUGUCGGACGAUACCAACAAUGAUAGGUAAUCACCAAGUGAUCGUCGUCCAUCAUCUUCGGUCAGCAGGGGUCGACAAGAAGGACGGCAAGGGGGUAUGACAAAUCUGGGGUUGGGUGGUCGGGCAAUGGCCAUCGGGAAUCGUGCAUGGUGCCGCCGUUCGGCACCUUCGUAUUUGGCGCCUGGGUUUGAAGUGAGGUGGGGACAGCAAUGAAACGAUCAGUAGUACACAAAGGGAGGAAUGCAAAGGUGAAUGACAUGCC